RNAcentral lists this ribosomal RNA (252 nucleotides) under uncultured bacterium. RNAcentral describes it as "partial 16S ribosomal RNA". It matches the Rfam family "Bacterial small subunit ribosomal RNA", at positions 524 to 776 of the family's 1533-position model. The record is from RNAcentral.
UACAGAGGGGGCAAGCGUUGUUCGGAAUUACUGGGCGUAAAGGCGCGUAGGCGGCCUGCUAAGUCGAACGUGAAAUCCCCGGGCUCAACCCGGGAACUGCGUCCGAUACUGGUAGGCUUGAAUCCGGGAGAGGGAUGCGGAAUUCCAGGUGUAGCGGUGAAAUGCGUAGAUAUCUAGAGGAACGCCCAAGGCGAAGGCAGGCAGCUGGGCCAAUUCUGACGCUGAGGCACGAAAGCGUGGGGAGCAAACGGG